UGCAGUCGAGCGGGGGAGGUUGCUUCGGUAACUGACCUAGCGGCGGACGGGUGAGUAAUACUUAGGAAUCUGCCUAUUAAUGGGGGACAACAUCUCGAAAGGGAUGCUAAUACCGCAUACGCCCUACGGGGGAAAGCAGGGGAUCACUUGUGACCUUGCGUUAAUAGAUGAGCCUAAGUCGGAUUAGCUAGUUGGUGGGGUAAAGGCCUACCAAGGCGACGAUCUGUAGCGGGUCUGAGAGGAUGAUCCGCCACACUGGGACUGAGACACGGCCCAGACUCCUACGGGAGGCAGCAGUGGGGAAUAUUGGACAAUGGGGGGAACCCUGAUCCAGCCAUGCCGCGUGUGUGAAGAAGGCCUUAUGGUUGUAAAGCACUUUAAGCGAGGAGGAGGCUCUCUUGGUUAAUACCCAAGAUGAGUGGACGUUACUCGCAGAAUAAGCACCGGCUAACUCUGUGCCAGCAGCCGCGGUAAUACAGAGGGUGCGAGCGUUAAUCGGAUUUACUGGGCGUAAAGCGUGCGUAGGCGGCUUUUUAAGUCGGAUGUGAAAUCCCCGAGCUUAACUUGGGAAUUGCAUUCGAUACUGGGAAGCUAGAGUAUGGGAGAGGGAUGGUAGAAUUCCAGGUGUAGCGGUGAAAUGCGUAGAGAUCUGGAGGAAUACCGAUGGCGAAGGCAGCCAUCUGGCCUAAUACUGACGCUG
Molecule: ribosomal RNA, 700 nt
Filed under: Acinetobacter sp.
Lineage: Bacteria; Pseudomonadati; Pseudomonadota; Gammaproteobacteria; Moraxellales; Moraxellaceae
Description: bacterial SSU rRNA
Rfam family: Bacterial small subunit ribosomal RNA
Source: RNAcentral